This 450-nucleotide ribosomal RNA is filed under the name uncultured bacterium. Its description in RNAcentral is "bacterial SSU rRNA". It matches the Rfam family "Bacterial small subunit ribosomal RNA", at positions 328 to 793 of the family's 1533-position model. The record is from RNAcentral.
CUCUGUGACUCCUACGGGAGGCAGCAUGGGGGAAUAUUGCACAAUGGGCGCAAGCCUGAUGCAGCAACGCCGUGUGAGUGAAGAAGGUUUUCGGAUCGUAAAACUCUGUCCUAAGGGAAGAAACAAAUGACGGUACCUUAGGAGGAAGCCCCGGCUAACUACGUGCCAGCAGCCGCGGUAAUACGUAGGGGGCAAGCGUUAUCCGGAAUCACUGGGCGUAAAGGGUGCGUAGGCGGCUUAGCAAGCCAGGGGUGAAAGGCAUUGGCUCAACCAAUGUAAGCCUUUGGAACUGUUAAGCUUGAGUGCAGGAGAGGUAAGUGGAAUUCCUAGUGUAGAGGUGAAAUUCGUAGAUAUUAGGAGGAACACCAGUGGCGAAGGCGACUUUCUGGACUGUAACUGACGCUGAGGCACGAAAGCGUGGGGAGCGAACAGGAUUAGAUACCCUGGUAG